CUAACAGGUGGGUGGAGCUCUAUGACACUACAGCCUCUGUGUGCUCCUGUUGUGAGACCACAUGCCCCUCUACUGUGCCGACAGGGAAAAUGGUCUCUAGUGACCCGUGGAAGUUGCCUGAGAAUGCCAAGGAAUCUGUAGCACGGAUUGACAAGGCUGCGGAUGUUCCAGACCUCGUAGAGGCCGACUUGCACGAUGGAUUUGAAAAGUACUGGAGCAGCUAAAAUCCAGACGCAUCAUCUUGUGGAGGUUGAAAUAAAAUAUUGGUGGUUUUAACAUCCAUAA
This is a long non-coding RNA of Sardina pilchardus (European sardine), 285 nucleotides long. RefSeq lists it as uncharacterized. The record is from RefSeq and is a predicted model, not a curated record. The transcript has 2 exons. NCBI's taxonomy places the organism in Eukaryota, Metazoa, Chordata, Actinopteri, Clupeiformes, Clupeidae.